AAGACUAUACUUUCAGGGAUCAUUUCUAUAGUUUGUAACUAGAGAAGUUUCUCUGAUCGUGUAGAGUCCCGGAAACCACAAGGAAGAGCCGAGUGUUCUUUUCUGAGCGUGAAGUUGGCUCUUGGUGUUGCUUCGCUGCAAUUGCCUUUUGCCAUUGAUGACCGUUCUUAGUCUCUUCUUGAGAUUAAGGAGGAAAGAACACUGUCUGAGUGGUU
Molecule: small nucleolar RNA, 215 nt
Organism: Sciurus vulgaris (Eurasian red squirrel)
Lineage: Eukaryota; Metazoa; Chordata; Mammalia; Rodentia; Sciuridae
Source: Ensembl